UACGUAGGGUGCAAGCGUUAAUCAGAAUUACUGGGCGUAAAGCGUGCGCAGGCGGUUUUGUAAGUCUGACGUGAAAUCCCCGGGCUCAACCUGGGAAUUGCGUUGGAGACUGCAAGGCUAGAAUCUGGCAGAGGGGGGUAGAAUUCCACGUGUAGCAGUGAAAUGCGUAGAGAUGUGGAGGAACACCGAUGGCGAAGGCAGCCCCCUGGGUC
This 212-nucleotide ribosomal RNA is filed under the name uncultured bacterium. RNAcentral's name for it is "partial 16S ribosomal RNA". It matches the Rfam family "Bacterial small subunit ribosomal RNA", at positions 524 to 735 of the family's 1533-position model. The record is from RNAcentral.